Long non-coding RNA from Homo sapiens (human), 25982 nucleotides. RefSeq lists it as uncharacterized. The transcript is spliced from 2 exons. The record is from RefSeq and is a predicted model, not a curated record. Lineage: Eukaryota; Metazoa; Chordata; Mammalia; Primates; Hominidae.
AAGUCUGGGCAACAGAACAAGACUCUGUCAAAAAACAACAACAACAACAACAACAAUAUAGAAAUAUAAUACAUAUCUACAAAAGCCAAUUGAAGUCAAACUGGAAUUCUGCAAAGCAAUCUUUAUGAAUGUGAGUAAGUUAGGUCAUAUUAGGUUGGUGCAAAAAUAAUUGCAGUUUGGCCAUUAUGUUUGCACCAACAUAAUACAUCUUUUAUUCUCAGUGCAAGAUUUUUGAUCUACAUUUCUGAAUAGCUUGGAAAAUAAAGUAUGGUCACAUCAGAACCAGUGGCAGGUAAAAUUUCUAAUUAUAAAUUGGCUCAAAUGAUUUAUAUUUGACUUUGGAAUGUCUUGCUAAUAUCUUCGUACAUGUAUUUUACUUUUUGCUGUUAAAACAUUUUCUAAACAUACUGAUAAAGACUAGAGAGAUGGAUCAGAAACAUACUGGGUGUUAAAAAAUCAUCCCGAGGUUUAAAAUGUUCUUUCUAAAUUUAGAUAAACGCAAGAUAAAUCCCACAGGAAGUUCACAAUUCCAUAGAUGUCUAAAACUAAAAGAAUGCAGAGAUUUUCUCAGCUCCAUGCCGUUUCUUGUAAUUGUAUGUUGACUGAGUAGAGAGUUAUAAAAACACCCCAGCCUGAUUUUAUGCAACUAUAUUGCUGUUUGUCAAAAGAAUACUUAAAAACUUGUCAAAAGAAUAUUUACAAACUAUAUUUAAGAAUAUUUAAAUAACUGCUAUAAAAUUUAAAUAAUACAAAAAUAUACAAAGAAAAAUUACAUCAUCUAGUCAUUUCAUAAAUAAACACAUACAUAAAUAUACACAUAAAUAAAUAUCUUAAUAUUUAGUGAACAACACCAUUCUAGAUGGCCCUAUGUGUUGGUGUAGAGAGAUUGAUAGAGAUGAAUAGUCAGAUAAAAAUAUGAUUCUGCCACAGUGGUUAUUCCUUAGCAAAAAUGUUUUAUGUUUAGUUCUACUUGAAUUUUAAGAAGAAAAAGAAAUUAAAUGAACUUGAAAAAUGACUGAACUUCAAAUAAAUGUUUAUUUGACCCAAGAAAUAUUAGCUUCUGAAAGAAGUGUUUUUAAUAAAAAGUGUUUUUAUUUUAGACCAAAUCUUUCUCAUUGAUGAGGAAAUUAGUACAAUUAUUCUUCCUUCCAGAUAGUCUUCCAAGUUAUUUAGGAUUUUAUUAUUGAAAAUGUUAUAUUAUUUACAUUUAUAAGUAUAUCCCCAAUAUUGUUUGGUCUUAUUCUAUGCUGCACAGGAAAUAUGUUCACCCCUUUGUUAUUUUACCAAGUUUUCUCUGUAAGGGAAAGUGCCUUGCUGUAAUUUUGUGUUUAUUAGAUUUAAGCAUUCAGUUACUUUUCCAGAAAGAAUCAUGGUUAGGCUACUCUCUAGUUUCUGAAUGUUUCACAGUGUCUGCAAAUGGUCUUAUACUGGAAGAGCAUGUCACGGUAUAAAAUAAUAUAUCUAUAUUUAAAUUUCUCUAAAUUUUGCACACUUUUUCAUGUAGCACUCAGUGUUGCUGUGAAGUUCUCUGAGGUCAUUCCUCCCACCACCACCCCCUUGGUUAGUAUGAUUUACCUGUGCUGCCUGGAACACCAUAUGGCUAUAUUUUUAAUUCCUAAAUUUUAAUAGCUACACUAGGAUUUGUUAGAUUAAUUGUUCUAUGUCAAAUUUUCCUGGGACUAAGUGUGUCACUUUAGUAAGGAAAUUUAAGUCCUUCUGUAUUUUCAAAACUUUUCUUCUAUUACAUCUUUAAUUUUUUUUUCUGUGGCAUUUGCUCUAUUCUCUUCUUCAAGAGAACUAGUCCUAUUUUUCUUGUGUACUGUAAUCACUUUUAUCAAUAUACUAAAACUAUUCAUAGACAUAUUUUAUGUCUUUAAUCUUUUUCUUUUCAUUUUAUAUAAUUUCUUCUAGUUUGUAUACCAUUCUGUGUUUUCAGUCAUGCAUAUUUUAUUUUGCUUCUACUUUGACAUUUAUAGGGAUUUGUUAAUUCCACUAAUUUCCUGAGCUCUACCCACUGCUUUUCAUCUUUUUGAAUACUUAUAGUUCUUUUUAAAUACUCUUUCCAUUGCAUAAUAUGUAAAUAUUUUUUUUUUAACUAUAGGUUAACUAUUUGUCUGAAUUCCACUGGUUUCUUGAAUAAUUCAUCUUCUGAUGUAUAGCCCUUCUUCCUUUUUACUUGGGUCUAAUUGAUGAUUUCAUGCUGUUUCUGUAAUUAGCUACUUUUUCUUGAAAAAGGCCAUUUACUCAAUUACUCUAAUUCUUGAUUAGGGCAAUUUUACUCAAUCUCAAUCUCUCAAUCUCUCAAUCUCUCUCUCUCUCUUUCUCUCCUCCUCCAUCCCUCUCCCUUUCCUCCCUCCAACACAGCUCUGUGUGUCAGAAUCUAGAAAUUUCUGUUUCCUCUUCCUCCUUCAUGCAACUUCCUCUUUGGCACUGUUCCUAUGUGAUGAUCCUGAGGAAUGGACAAUAAAAUGAUUUUGCCUUCAGUACCACCUCCCUUGACUUUCUGCAGCAUGAAAUUUCUAGGUCAUUUCCUUACUCAUAGGAUACAGCCAUUCCCAUGUCCUGAUACUCUAAUCAGAUUGUCAGAUAUUACUCUUGAAACUGUAACCCUUUAAAGGAAACCUCUUUCAUCUGCCAUUUUUGAAGUUUGUGUUGACUCUCAGAUUCUUCCCUCAUCUUGGUGCAGACUUCGAUUUCUAUUUUUACAGUAUUUCACAGUACAUAUGACUGUGUAUGGUUUGAUGCUAUGGCUAUUUUUGUUUUACUAAAGAUUGAAGGGUUGUAUUGUUAGUGUGGUGGCUCUCUACUUUUCAGGGUUUGUUGUUUUGGGAAUGUUUUGAAAGAAAUUAGUUCUGAUGCUUUUCACUAGAAAUAAUCUAUGACCUGAGCUCUUGUGGACUCCUAAAGUUUGUGCCACUGUGUUUCGGUCUUACUUCAAACAUUACUUUUAAAAAAAAGCCUCUUUCUAUUGAAUUAUUUCAAACAAAUCAAAUAUAUUAUGUUUCCUGAAUACCCCUUGCUUUAGUUGGCUUUUCCCUUCCCAUAAUGAAGGAUGAGGACCUUCCUUUCCUUUGUCUUCUGUCUUUCACAGUCGUUUCUGGAAUACCAGCCCUUCUAUCAGAACUGGAUGGAGACCUGUGGACACCCCUAGUAAGCUGCAGAUUUUUCACAGUGGUCAUUUGACCUCCAGAGCAAGCCAAUAAUUUGUCACUUCAUUAAACUGGUAUUUAUAUUUAUUAAGUUUUUUGAGAUACAAUCCCUAGUAUUGAGUGAUAGAAGAGCAGAAAAGAAGUCUACUGUUGUUAGCACCUCAACUAACUGAACCCAUUAAAUCAAAAGCCUUUCUCUUAACUGGACUCACCUUCCUUAGAAGACGAUUUAACAAUGUUUUCUUUCUGCUCAAGGAUAAUCAUUUAGAAUUUUAGCCCUCUUCCUUCUUUCCAAACAGCUUAUCAAAGAAGGCUAUGUAAUUGUCCCCCUAACAGAAGUUCUAAUAAUAUAAAUUCCUCCCACUCAUUAGAUUUCAGUUAUGUUUUACAAUCCCUUUUGGACAGGAGCUCUGGGAAGCCAAUGGCACCUGCUGUCUACCCCUCCAUCUAACUUUCUUCCCUUUACUACAUUCUGGAGAAGCCAUCUCAGUUGCUCUAAGUACUUAUGUAUUUGCCUUUUCCUAAUAUUGGAGAAAAUUUAAGCUUUCUAUUUUUUUAAUGGCAUACUCCACUGCAUCCCAAUUUGCUUUUGUGAGUAGAAGAGACAGGUGUAAAUUUUUCUUUUAAUUUUUACUUUAAGUUCCAGGAGACAUGUGCAGAACGUGAGGUUUGCUGCAUAGGUAUACAUGUGCCAUGGUGGUUUGCUGCAUUUAAUGACCUGUCCUCUAAGUUCCCUCCCCUUGCUCCCCACCCCUAACAAGCCCUGGUGGGUGUCGUUCCCUUCCCUGUGUCCAUGUGUUCUCAUUUCAACUCCCACUUACGAGUAAGAACAUGCAGUGUUUGGUUUUCUCUUCCUGUGUUAGUUUGCUGAGGAUGAUGGCUUCCGGCUUCAUCCAUGUCCCUGCAAAGAACGUGAUCUCAUUCCUUUUUGCGGCUGCAUAGUAUCCCAUGGAAAUUUUUAGCUAGUUAAAUUGACUUGUAUACACUCUGGGCAUGCCCACCAGGAAUUCUCCCACAAAUAAACAUCCCCUGUACUGUGUUAAGCAAUAAAUGAUUCUGGAACCUGUUCUUUUCUGCCCAGUUUAAACCCUCUGCUUUUUGGAUUGGGCAAGUUUUCUAUACUCUUUAAUAAAUUUGUUUUCAUAUUUGUUGUCAACCAGCUGACAGUUUCUCUGCCCUUUUUAUAACCUACUUCCUGAUUCAAGACAUUGGGUCAAGACUUUUAAAAGGCCUUGACUUCCCUUUUGCUGAUUCCUCUUCAUUAUUUCACCUAUUAAACUAGGCAUGAAAAAAACUCACCAUUGGGCCCUCUUGCCUACCCACUACUCCCUCAGAAAACUUGCAGAGUUCAAGCAUCACUUGCAAUCAAAUUAUUCUCAUACCUGCAUUUCUAACCCUUAGUUUCCUCCUUUCAACAUAUCAUUAGAAGUGUGAUUUUCAUUGCCUAAAUAUAUACUUCCACUUAAGUAGUCACUGGUCACUGGAAUGAUAGAGAAAUUUUAUCUUUGCUCCAAGAGAUCUACUUCUUCUCCAUGUACUCUACUGCUUAUAGAAAUUGACUGCAUUUCCUUUCCAAAGGUGACAAGUUUAAGUCAUUUCUAAUACCUGCUUUUUGUCUGUCUCAACCACAACUUUAAUAGCAUUUCUUGAACACAGGCAUCACACUGUGGACUUUAUUUAUGUUAUCUCAUUUAGUAAUCACAGAAUACAAAGAAGUAGACAUUAUUAUCUCAGUUGUUCUGGUAAGGAAACUGAGGCUUAGUGAGGUUAACUUACUCAAAGGCCCCAUCUAGUUUGUGACAGAGCCAACAUUCAAGUCUAGGGUUGAUGGACUCUAAAGUCAAUGUGCUCUUAGCCACUUUGCAUAUCAUUGCCUUAAACCCAUCCCUCUUUAGGUCUAGGGUAGGCUUCUUGAGUCUGCAGCUACUCUCUUUUCAACAAACAUCAAUCAAAUGGCUAUGAUAUCCCAGACCCAAGGUAACAAUAUAAAGAUGGGUAGGAUGAGGUUCCUGUUCAAAAGACUUUUGGAGCUAGGGAAAAACAGAAGCACUAAAGCUUGGAAGUAAUUUUAUCCAUUAAACAUAAAGUGAAACUGUUAAAAAAUUAAAAUUAAACUCAUAUAAAUAGGUGAAAUGUAUUUUUUCAGGUAUUUAUUACUUUAUGUGUGUAACUUAACAACUCAGCAAGACCGAUUUUGGCAGAAAGGUGUGGCUUAUAUGAUUCUAGAAUAUAGAAUACAGUAUGAAACAGGAUACUUGACUUGCACAGAAAAAUAUCAGUGAAGAUAGUAAGGAUUAAAACUCAUUUUGUAUUUGCUCCAUGAAGCAGUCACUGCUUUCUAGUGCCCUUGAUUCACCUGAAUGUCCAUACCCCAGCUGUUUAGCUCAUUUCCAUGUGCAUGCCCCAUUUCUCCUUCUUGAGAGAAAACACCAUCUUUUAAAUAUUUUCUUAAUUUUUCACAAUCUGUUUUCCAGAGUGGAUGGCAAUGCUAACAGGCAAAAUUUCUGUUUCUCUUUAAUUUCCAAUUAAAAAGUAGCUCAGAAACACUUAGCAUACACUUUUGCUCUGUUUUCUUCAUAGUAUUACAGCACAAAGCUACCUUGUUUAGUUGUCCUGUCUGUCUCUCUCCAUGAGCAGAAGGAUCUUGCAGUCUCACUCACCACUAUAUCCUCAAAGACUGACGCCAUGAUAGGAGUUUAAUAACUGCUGUGUGAGUAUAGGGAUAAAUGAAAAGAUUUGGGACAACAGCCACUUUAGCCCUCACUCCUGUCCUCCAGGUCACUCCUCUCUUGACCACUGCAUAAAGGACAUCAGGCCUCAGCUGCCUGGCCCCUUCUUUUCCUCACCCCCAACCAUCCAUUCCUCCUGGGUAUCUUUAUGGAAUCUAAGUGCUGAUUAGAAAUCCUUCCAGAAUCGCCUUCUAUAAUGUUUCUGUUUUAUUAUCUUUAUUUUUCUAGUAGACUACAAGAUACUUGAAGGCAGGGUGUGUCUUUUAUUUUGUCACUAACAGCAUCUAGUAUAUUACUUGGGCCUUCACUAGAUGUUGUUCCAGUGGAUAUUUGUUAUUGAAUGUUUUUUAUUAAUUGGCAAAAAAUUAAGUUUGGAUGUGUGCCAUGUAUAGCUGCACAUUUUUUAUCAAGUGGUGAGUAUUCUUGUUGCCGCUGCUUCAAAGACUUAGUAAUUAAUACAUGUAUCUUUGCUCUCUCUCUCUCUCUUGAUUCAGUACCUAUUGCAGAUGAUAGCCUCAUUUGAGAAACACAGAUUUUCUUUUUAUCAUUUAUUUCCUACCCAGGAGUUAUUUCUUCAUAAAAAAUUAGUCAUCCAAUCCAGGUCCUAGUGAGAACUACAUGAGUUUGGGAUAUCAUGUGCAUAUAGGAGCUAAAAAUAUAUAUAUUGUAAAUUUCCAAAAGUAUACAUUUGGUGCUUAACUCACUAUUCACAGUUACUUUAUUAUUUUUCCUACUAAUCCUUUCCAACUAACUUCUAUCCAGAGGAUCCACUUCCCCAAUCGAUGUGAUUUUGCUUUCUAUUUUUCAGUAAAAUUUUCAAAACAUAUGCAUUAAAUAUAAUAUUAGAUUGUGACAGUCAGACCAUUCAUUUCAUUUCUAGGCACAAAACAACAUUUGCUUAAAAAUGUGGAUCCUGGAAUCACAGUGGUUUGGGGUAAAUUCAUGCCAUGCUGUGCAAAAGUGGCACAGCCUUGAAUUGGUUAAAAUACUUCAGGGCUCUGCUUCCUCAACUAUAAAAUAAGACUAAUAAUACUUCCUAAUUUAUAAAGUUUUAAUAUGAAACCCAAGUGAAAUAGAUGACUAUUAUUAUUGUUAUUAUUAUGCAAGUGUUUCUGGGAUAAGUUGGUUUUUUUUGUUUGUUCUUUUUUUUUUUUCUUUUUUUUUUUAGAGAAAGUCUUGCUCUUGUCCCCCAGGCUGGAGUGCAAUGGCACGAUCUCGGCUCACGCAACCUCCGCCUCUCAGGUUCAAGCGAUUCUCCUGCCUCAGCCUCCUGAGUAGCUGGGAUUACAGGUGCCUGCCGCCAUGCCUGGCUAAUUUUUGUAUUUUUAGUAGAGACGGGGUUUCACCAUGUUGGCCAGGCUGGUCUCGAACUCCUGACCUCAGGUGAUCCGCCUGCCUCAGCCUCCCAAAGUGCUGGGAUUAGAGGUGUGAGCCACUGCACCUGGCUGGGAUAAGAUUUUUAUAACUCUAUUUUGAGAAGGAUUUUUGUCUGAAGAAACUCACUUUUAUCACUUUAUUUUGCCCAAAUAAAGCACUAUAGUCCAUAUCUCUGUUUCAAAUAUUAUUUAUUAAAUUCAAUGUUUCCUGGAUAAUAUGCCCUUUCUGAAUGACAGUCAAAUGCCAUUCAGUAAUUCCCUCAUUUUUUUCUGCCAAUCCUAAUAUAUCCUCAUUUGUUUAUAAACAAUUCAUUUUUAAAAUUAUACUCUCAUAUAAUAAGUGAAGUGUCUUUAUUUUGUUCAGAUAUUUAUUACUUUAUAUGUGUUUAACUUCAUAACUCAGCAAGAAAUUAUAGCAUCAUUUUGGAAAAUCUCCAGUCAAACUCUGAUCUUUGCCUAUAAUGUAUCUGGUUUUAUUUAACUGAAAUGGGAGAAUUGAAUACUUUUAGGUUUUUCUGCUAUUCUUAGUUGACUAUUUGACUUUAGUUGUGUCGUUCUGUAAGAAACCUUGACAAGUUAAAUUUAUCCAUACAGAAACCUAUAGUUAGGAGACCUGUGAGAUGACUAUAAUUUCCUUCCCAUUAGUUUCAAUGAAUUCCAUGCAUGUGAAAGAGAAUUGGAGAGUGGAGUCUGCAGCCCUGUGUUUCUCGUUGUGCAGGUAUAUUGAGGAGGGAGAUAUAGUCCAGGUCUCCUUAAGUUGUUCCUCUGCUGCACAUUACCCUUAAUCCUCCUUUGAGCAAAUGCAGACUAGAGCAGCUAUGCCAAGAAGAGAAGACUUAACUCUUUAAACACAAGGGGCCCUUGGACACUUAGCUUAUGCUUCAUACAAAACCUGUGAAAUGGUUAAUAUAGAAAUGUGAGUGUCAUUUGUAUUGUAGCCAAUAUGAACCAGAAGAAUUGAGCUGUAGCCAGCAUUUAUUUAAGCAUCAUUUUUGCCAUCUGGAUUCUUUUGUGGGGAAAGAACCAUUCGAAGGGAAUUGCCUUUGGUUACAAAGGUGAUUUGACUUUUCUCUCUAUUUAUAUGUGCACCAUCCCACUGGCACCGUUGUUCAAGGUUCCAUAAAGAGACACUUUUGUUCUACUGCUGCUUGAGAGUUUAGGUAGCAUAGGAGAGCCUGAAGAAGAUGUGGGAAAGCGUAUCAAACAUUUUUGUGGACAAAUUGGAUUCAUAAAGGACAUUGGCCUGUAUGUGGAAAAACCAACUAAAUAAUUUAAUCCAGGUAAAAAUUAUGCAGCCAUUCACUCACACAGGACUCAUUGGCGUCUUCCCUAAAAUACAAGUCACUUGAUGUGGCAAAUCAUUUGUAGGUCAGUGUUCAAACCCAAAUGCUUGUUGGACACCUACCUGUCAGCUGGUUUAGGUACUGAUUCAAUCCAUUCCUUAGCAAUGAACCUGUAAACAAAAAAUGGCUAUCACCCAGGAAUCAUAAUUUCUAAUUACCUUUGACCUGUGGCAAAGUACAAUAAUUUAAAGAUGAUAGUGAGCCUCUAUUACACAAAUGUUUUGAAGAUUAAAACUUGAGAAGAUUGGCAUUCACAUCUGGGAAUUAUAAAUUUUAUUUUGAUGUUAGAAGAAAGGCUUUUACAUGAGUAUGAUCUGAUAUAUUUUAUUGUUAGGUUUAUAGGAUUCAGAAUCCGUGGUUAUUUUAUGAUUAUGUGAUCAGGUAAUUUUUAUCUUAUCUGAGAGCUCUUUCAUAAUACUGCAUUAAUUAAAUCGCUCAUCUGAAUAAGGAGUUUAAAUGGUACAGUGGGCAAUGAAGUAAAAUCUGUAGAAUUCCCAGCCAUAGCACAUAUUAUUUUAAACUAUAUUAGAGAUAAAACUAUUUAUUGAGUGCUAACUUCUGCAGAGCCUUAUCUUAAAUACCCCUAGAAUAUAUAAAAGAAACACUCACAAGUAAAGGUCUUUUAAACCAACAAUAAAGUAAUAGAUCAACAAAUGCAAAAUAAUAUAAUCUGUGCAAAAUAUUUAUGUGCCAUUCACAUACACGUUACAAAAAUGAUUGAAAUGGAAAUGAAAAUUAUUGGUAUUCUAAGUAUUCAUCCCCUUAUACUAUUAAUUGGAAACUGAUAUAUUAUUUAACUCUUAAGCAGAAAUGUGUGAUGUUUAAAAAUAAACAGCAAAUUAUGAAGUCACAAGGUAAGUGUUAAAAUACAUAUAUAUGUGUGUGCAUGUGUGUGCGUGUGUAGAUGUAUUAAUCUCAUCAUUAAAAGGAGGAAAAAAGAGCCUUUAAAGUUUCCAUUAUCCAUUAUGUCAGGUAGCAAAUAUCUUCUCAAUGUAACUCCAGACAUUAAAUCUGUCGAGAGGAAUGCUGUAAAAUAAAUGUCUGGGAUACCUUCAUAAACAAAAAUCUUAUUUCCAUAAUUCAUACAGCUGGCUGGCAUUUAUUGGCACGUCAGGUGCAAUGGGGACAUUUCAGGAACAUUAACAUGUACAGCAUCAUUUGUCAACAAAGCAACAAUGUAAGCAAAUCGUUCAGAACUCAUACAGAUUUACAGCUUUCUCCGCCAGCUGCUAAUUACGGUGUGCUCGGCCUAUUUGGUAUGGUCUUUUUAUUGGAAAAUGACAAAGGGGUUAUAGUAUCCCAGUUUGGAAUAUAGAUGUGGCUUUUAGUAAUAAUAUGAAUGUAAUAUGACGAUGUAGCUUGGAGUUGUGAUCCAGUUUUCCUGGUCUUAUAAUUGAUCAGCUUUGAUUGAUGAAGGACAAGAGAAAUUCACAGCCUAUUUUGUUUCUGAUGUAACUAACCUCUAAAACAAAGGAAAAAUAGGGGAAAAAUUAUCAAAGACCAUGUCACAGCAGUUCUUAAUGUUUUUCCCUAUGGAACAUGACACAUAAUAUUUACCUCUCAAAGAAAAUCUGAUAUGUUGAUUGCUGGUGGAGCAAAUGUUACAGGAGCCUGUACAUUUCAGAAUUCUACGUUGUACUUUGAACAAUCAGAAAGGCCUUACACAAAUAUGCUUAAAUAAUGUUAAGGUUAUGACAGAAGGUGACAAAUGUCAGCAGCAUCAAAGUUAACAUCUAUAAUCACCCCCUGCUUACAUUGUUCAGUUUUAGGAAAAGACACAACCGUACAAGCAAAUGAUGGAGUGUCAACUCUACCUUCAAAUUCCCUGGAUUGUGUCAAGGCAUAUUAUAAUCCAUAAAAUGAAGAGUGGUGCUGUCUUUGUGCCCAUGAUGUAAAUCUGUAUUUAGAGAUGGUCCUUCUGUUUAACCAAAAUGCAAAAAGCUAAAUUGGUAAAUACUUAUUCGAACAUUGUUUAGAUUUAUCCCAUCCCAAACCUUAUUAAAAUCCAUUAAAUUCCAGAGUGAACCGAUUUGACAUUCAGCAAAUCAGUUGCUGUCAGAGCAGCUGACUUGACCAGAUAUUAAAAUAUUUUCAACUUUGCUGGCAUCAGAUCCUCGGCCCUUCCUAGAGCUGAUAAUGUCAGGACAGCAAUGGUUGACUGGAUCCAAAAUGCAUUAUACUAAAUAAGUAUCAUUCUCAUGUUCCAAAAAUAAAGAUUCUAACUCCAGAAAUAGUUUGCAGAUAGUGUCCUUCUAUUUUACGUAAUGCCCCGUGGAAUCCUGUACCAUCUUCGCUUACACAUUUGUCAUUAUGUAUUGUAAUUGUUGGUUUCUUCCUCCUCCACUAGAAUAGGAUUCCUAAAAUCAGCAAGUAAAUUAUGUUUAAUUUUGUACCCUCAGAGCCUAGUACUACCUGGAAUAUAGUAGAUGCCAAAUUAAGACUAGUCAAAAGAAUGAAUAAAUGUGUACAUAUUGGGGCAGCCCUGCAUGAGAUUGUGAUGGAGGAGGAAUUUGCUUUAAUAUCUUGCCCACUCAUCCUUUCUUGAGGAUACCGUCUCCUAAGUCCUCUGAGAUGCAUAUUUCCCAUAUACUUUUUUCUUUGUCCCUUAUUCUAAAACCUACUUGCAGAAGAGUAUCUGAAACUCAUAAACAUUAAGAUGUAAAAUAUAAACAAUCUUCCAAAGUAUUGUCUUUUCCAGGGGCAUUUAUAUUCAAACCAAGAUCCAUCCCUUAAACUGAAAUUGAAAAUUAAUUUGAGGGUAUUAGACAUUAUUUUUUAUGUAAAGAAACAUUUUUACAGUGAAGGUACCAUCUUGGUUUUCUUUAGUAGAAAGGCACUCACUCAACUUUUCCCCAAACCACCCUUGCUUGGUGCUAAAUGGAGAUGGUGUUGGUUCUAUUCUCCAGGAUUAUGUGGCAUGUAGAUUCUACUAGGAAUUGAAAUGAAGACCUUAGAAUGGAAAUGUGGCCUAGCUAAGGAAGAAUACUAUGAUUUUAAUUUGCAUUAACAUGAAGUCCUUCUAGACUGAGUCAAUAUGAAGAGAACCAUCUAGUGCAUCAGAACAGAGCCUUUUCAACCCAUAUUAUUGUCUUUGUGAAGCAAAACGUGCUGCUGGAAUUAAAAACAAGCAAAAGGUUGUAUUUUUUACUGUUCAAAGAAUGCUAAAACUUUCAAUGCAUAACAACCCCAGAGAAACAGGGUUGAUGGAAUCAGAGAAGUUGGAGGACAGACACCUUAAAUUUAAAAUUGAAUACUUGUGAAGAGUUGCAACUCAUAGUCUGCCUUUAAAAUAUAGCUGGGCAAGGAGGUCUUGUGUCACCCUAUAUGAUGAUCACUUCAAAUUGGUUUUAAAUUUACAACAAUUAUUUGAAUAAAAGCCACUAUUUCCAAAGCCACCCAUUUGCCUAAAAUAAUCUCUGAAAGUAAGUUAUUUAUAUAUAUUUAUUUAUAAACUAGCAUUUGUAUUAACCCUUACCCAAAUGGUUAUCCUUACUUGUAUUUAAAACCACUAAGUCAGUGCUUUAGAAUAGUCUAUGUUAAUCUUUACAAAUAAUUCAUGUUGCGCUAAUUAAUGAUUCAUACAUACUUGAGAGAGAAUGGAUUGAUGUUUACCUGUUCAUUAUGCAAAAAGUCUUCACAGAAAAUAUUUCCAAAAUUCCAGGAACAUUUUAAGUGUUUUUAAUUAUUUUAGAGGUAUCUAUGUAUCUUCACAAAAGUAAUAUUCUAACUAUAAAUCCCUCAUAACUAAUCAUUUAUUCAGACCCUCUAAGGACCUUCACUAAGAACCAUUUAUUAUCCUCAAUAAUACAUAAGAAUCCUAUUUUAAAUGAUCUCAAAGUUGACUACAAUUUGUAUUUCUCACUAAUUUAAACAGGCCUCUCCUAUUCUUGUCCUCUUCCUACCCCUCCCUCAAGCUUCCCAUGGUAAUACAUGGCUACUAACUGGAUUGAAAGCAUAAAUGAUAUGAAGCAGAGUUUUGAGAAUUUGUAAUUCAGAAAAUAUGGCAAAAUCUAGGAAUUCUCAUAUUUUAAUAUCACUAUUAGUUGAUUUGCUUAAAUGCAAAAUAUUAUAAUAAAGAAAUAAAAAUAUAAAAUUUGUAUUUUAUAAGAGCAAUACUAAAAUUACAAUUUAGGAUGCAUAAUAUGUAUAUAUUUAAGCCUAUAGAUCUCAAUACAAAUGCAACUGAAUGUAGAAAGUCUACCUUUAAUCCAGUUUAUGAGGAAAUGUCUUAACGUCACCUUUCUAGGAGAAAGCAAGAGACCAAUCAUGAGAACCAUUUAGUCCAGCAAUCUCUCAAGAUGCCAGUCGCCAGCUUGAUGGAGUGAGCAUUUAAUUAGCCUAGUAAUUCCCUCCUAUUGUUCCCUUCUCAACUCUAAUUGAAGAGAGACCUUAAUCUCAAAGGAGAAAUAUUUAACUUUUAAAAAUGUCACAGAAAGGUGGAAAGUAACUGUUUUGUUAAGUAAAUAGCAUUUACUCACAUGAGAAAAUAACUUUUAAACAAAUAUUUUAUGUUUGUUUCUUAAGGUCUGUAGUAAAACAAAAACAAUUUCAAGCAAACAAACCUGAGAGCUCAAUAUCAACAGAUUCUUUUGAAAAGGAAUUAUCAAUUGCUGCUGCCAUAACAAAACACUUAAGACUGGGUAAUUUAUAAAGAGCAGAAGUUUAUUCCCUCACAGUUCUGGGAUCUGGGAAGUCCAAGAUCAAGAUACUAGCAUCUAGUGAGGGUCCUCUUGCCAUGUACUCACCUGUCAGAAGGCAGAAGAACAAGAGAGAGUGGGCCUACUCCUGCAAACCCUUUUUGUAGUGGCAUUAAUCCAUUCAUGAGGGCAAAGCCUUUAUGACCUAAACUCCUCCCCAAAGUCUCCACCUUCCAACACUGUUGCAUUGAGGGUUGUUUCCAACAAUGAAUUUUACAGGACACAUACAGACCAUAGCAGUUAUUAUAAGGACAUAUUUCAAGAAUAAGCUACAUUAUCCCAGCAGGAGUGUCUGAAAUGCAUGAAGUUAAGGCUAACAAAGAACAUCUAAACUAAUAGGUAAAUCCAAAGAAACUCCAUGAAACAAGGAAGUCUCAUUUGUGUGGUGUAAAAUAAAAGUCUAGAUACGGAUCAAAUCUUGGUCAAAAAUAGCAUCAAAUGUGGCUAAAGGAGUGAUCAAAGUUAAAAACUUCAAAUGCCUUUAGUAUUUCUGGAAGUAAAGACUUCAGUUGUAUUAAGUGAAAUACACGUGUUAAAAUUCCGAGGCCAUCAUGCUAUGUUACACAGAUGGUCACCAUCCGCUGUAAGGUGGCUAAAGGGAAAGAGGUGAGUAGCUGGCUUGGGGUAGCCACCCAAUAGGGCUAGCCACCCAAUAGGUAUAUAGCCACAUUAUACCUUACCCCUUUACUAUGCCUGGCCUGAUCUACUGCAGCAAUGAGCUGUUCACUCUUUUUGGGCUGGGCUCAGUAGUUCACACCUGUAAUAGCAGCAUUUUGGGAAGCUGAGGCGGGAGGGUCACUUGAAGCCAGGAGUUCAAGAUCAGCCUGGACAGCAAAGCAAAACCCCCAUCUCCGUAAAAACAUGAAAAAUAAAGAAUUUUAAUUAUCCAGGCAUGGUGUACGCCUUCAGUCCCAGCUACUCAGGAGGCUGAAGUGAGAGGAUCACUUAAGUUCAGGAGUUUGAGGCUGCCAUGAGCUAUGAUCGCACCACUGCACUCCAUCCUCGGAGACAGCAAGACCUUAUCUUAAAAAAUAAGUUGGUUUUUUUUUUUUAAAAAAAACUAAGUUUUAUUUUAUUUUUUGAAGUUAGAAAGUAUGCAACUUGUCUGUGGGAGACAAAAACUCUGAGAAAUAUAUUAAACAUUGGAAAGGAAGGGAGAGUAGGGGUACAUUGUUCAGGGUUGCAAAGUGAAGUUGAGAGUCUUAAAUAGAGGGAGGCCUAUGUACUUUCUUAAAAUCAAACCAACAGCAAAUAGGAACACAAGCAAUAGAUUCUGGAAGAAUUGUUUGCUAUGGAGUAAAUCAUGUAUUUGUCUAUUCACCAAAUGCUAUAUACCUAGAUGCUUCUACAAGGAAGAACAAAAAACCAUGUUAAUGAACUCAGACAUUUGAAUAGUGUUGUUGCUGUCCAUAGAUGAGAGCUUUAAUAGUGUUGUUGCUGUCCAUAGAUGAGAGCCUAAGCAGUUUUCCUACCAGCAAAGAAUAAUGUACCUUGAGAAAGAUGUGUGAACAUGUAAGUUCCUAUUAAUGCACAUUUAUCACAAAAAUUAAUCUGAGCAUAAGCAAUGGGCAAUGUGAGUGUUGAGGAUCGCUUGAAAUCAGGAGUUCGAGACCAGCCUGAGUAGCAAAGCAAGACCCCUACCCCCGCCAUCUACACAGAAAAAAAAAUUAAUGGUAACUAAAACACAACGAAAAUAUUGUCAAUCAGAAACAAAUAAUACAUGAGAAAGAAACGAAGCCAUAACUACCAAAACCAGAAAUGUAUGUCUCAGAGACCAGAAAACACUUUUGAUCCAAAAUUAAAUAUCCAAUAUUUUCACACAGUUAGAAUUCAUCUUAUAUUUCUAGUCUAAUCUAUGCUUGACGCUUUCCAUUGCUACUGGGUGACACGGAUCACUUUUCUCUAAUUUUGUUUUCAGUUUUGCUAUUUCUUAUAUUGUGUAUCUGCCUCCAUGAGUUUUAAAUGGCUAAAUUAUUUGCUUAGAAUUCAGGUGUUUUUCUUAACAGAUUAUUUCUAGCUGAAGCUGUUUCUGUCACAUAUUGUUGAAUUCCAAAUGCCCCCCUAAAACAUAACCAUAAAAGUAAUUUCUUUCCUAUCCUCAUCAACACUUCAGAUAGUUAAUAGCUGCGGGCACAUGUUAUAAAAGAAGUUGCUGAAGAAGGGAACUUGAAGUGAAUUUGGCAUAGAGUCAUGGAUGGUACUAAACACAUGGAUGAAGUUAUUUACUUAAAAUUUUUCUUGUCGGCCUGAUUUGGCUAUAUUUUCAAAAUUGACACAUACUAUGCUGUAGACUUCUAUUUUCACUAGCUGAGAAACAGAAUGAUUACAGACUUUUGCAUGUUAUGCAUUUUUAAAUAUCACCAAGUUAAACUUAGAUUUUGAUUCCGUGCCCAGGACCAAGUGGAAAAAAAUCUCCAUCUUCAAUAGUUCCUAUUAUCUUUUAGUCACAGGGCCACAUACUGUAUUUCUUCCAUGAGUAAAACUCCCACUUGGAAUUCCAAGCAUUGCAUAACUAGUGGAGUAUUCAUAUCAUAUAUAACUCAGUAGGCCUUCAUAUCCUAAUCAGCUAUUUCAUCUGCACAAUAUUCUUCUUAGCAGUUAAAAAUCUUAAAAUCAUAGUUCAGAAUGGAGCCAACAUUUAAUUCAGCCAACAAAUAUUUAUUAAACACCUACUUCUACUACUGGUGUUACAACCAUGACUACUACUUUACAUAGUUUUGUAUUGCUUUAAAUUGUUUUUACAAACCUCAUCUCAUUUACUACAGUGAAAUUACCUACUGCUUUGAAGGAGCUUAGAGACUCAUAAAGUAGAUUAAAUCAAUUGUCAGAAAAACUGGGCUUUAAAGAACUUGUCUACGAUGGUACCGGCUACUGUAGUAUUUUAGAUGAUUUUGGUGAACUCUCAGUUGAUUUUAGGUAAAAGAUUCAUCUGCACAAAUGUAUAUUUAUCUUUCAUUGUAUUUUUUAUUACAAUCUAAUAUUUUUUAAAAGCUAAGAAAAUGCAAUGAAAAUAACAUUUUAAAAAGUGUCAGCUAUAUGAAUGAUAUUCUUUAAUGCAUGUCACAUUUAAAAUAUGACCUAUUUUUAAAGUACAUUGUAUAUGUCACAAGCCAGAUUUGGUCACAGGCCAUGGUUUGCUAAUCUCUGUCCUAAAGCAAUAUGGUAGUUCUGAACGUUUGGCUGAAGAACAUGGAUGGCGGUAGAAGUCCCUAAACUGGUCUUCAUAGCUUAGAAUAACAGAACUGCUGAGUUUGAAGGAAACCGAACAACUUAUCUCACUUACUCUCCAAACACUGUUCAAUUUCUCUUCAUACUUUUUUUUACAAUGUGGUAGUCUCUAUAUUUAUAUUUGAUUCAAAAUAUAAUGUUUUAAAACGGCCUGUACUGAUGUCUCUUCAAAAUCUUUAUCUUGCUUAAUCUUAGAAACUUUCUUGCCAAGGAGUGUAGGAGUAGACAUGAUAGCAAGGGAAAGGUAAUAGAAUAAAUUUUGAAAGCUAAAUGCUUUAUUUUGAUAUAGCUAAUAUUCAUAGACCUUAACAUUUACAUUAGUCAGCAAUCAACCAAAAGUCAUAGUUUCAAAUACACGAGGGCAGAAUCUGCCUAGCUACACAGGAUUUGACCACUUAAAAGUUGAGCUCUAUGAUUAUUCUGAUGAAGUGGAUUGGAGACCAUCACCUUUCUCUUAGUAAAUAUUUGUCCUUCACAUACCAAUCGUAAGUAUAAUUAAGCAUUUUUUACUUCAUCUGGUGCUUCAAAUUUUGUAUGAUGCAGGAUUUAGUUUUCUAUUCUAAUUCCUAAAAGCCAUAUUUCAGGCUGCAUUCUAUUAGGGGUGUCUCACUUAAAAUAAGAAUACUAUUAUGUAGCUUAACUUGCAUCUAUUUCCUUUUUAUUAUGGCCACUCAAUUGUUCCUGACUUUCUUUGGGAAUGAUUUGUUAAUUUUAUUCCAGUCUCAGCUAUGUGCCUUCACUUAACAAUGAACAUUGACUACUGGAUACUUAGCUUACCUUUUUUACAAGAUAUAUAUUUCAAGGUUUUGUUUUCAUAUAACAUAAAACAGUAAGGCAUUCAUUAAUCACUAUUAAAUUCAUUCUUUUCCUCUUUAUUGAAUUCUAAAGGAAAAUCAGCUAGUCUUUUUUUUGGCAUGUGUCAGCAAAAGUAUGUUAUUAUGAGGUGUUCUUAAAUAAUAUAUCUUCAUAAAACAAUAUAGGUGGAGGUUUAAGGAGAAAUAAGGAAAGAAAUUGGAACCAUCUGGAUAUCCAAAGUAGAGAAAAGUUUUUACUAAUGGUUGUCAUGUACACGUUACAAAAAUAACAUUAUACAGCUUUCUAACUGGACAGGAAAAGGCAGAACUAUCAAAAAGUUGAAAAAGAAGAUAGCCCUGGAGUGAAGCAAUUGACAAAUAAAAUCAUUUAUAAGACAUGCAUUUAGAAGAAAAGUGGAGAUUCAUGGUUCUUGGGUCAGUAAGGAUUAAACAUAUCUCAGAGAUGACCUGCUUGUUCCUGGGAAUCGAAAUACAGUUGCAUUCCAAAAAGGAUGGCUCCCUGGGAAAUGCAAGGAGGGGAGGACAGGAGGGAACAGAUUUUUGUUGUUGUUGUUUUUGUUUGUUUGCUUGUUUUCAGGGAUGAGUGGGAAAGCACCUUCUAUGUACUUGCUCCUAAAUCAGCCUGGUGAACUGGGAAGAGUAGAGAUUCCAUGAAAGAAAAGAAUGUGAAUACAUGCUUUGGAGAUAAGACAGAAAAUGGGAGAAAAAGCAAAGAAGGAAAGAAGGAAGGGAGGGAGGAAGAAAAGAGAGAUUCUCCAGAGACACACUGCACUCCCUCACAUGUAAAUGUUAUAUUAAAGAAGCAAUAUCACUGGAAAUUCACUUCAUCAGAUAUUUAAGUAUUAAUACAUAAAUUAGAAAUCAAUUUUAGGAGUGUUAUUCCUCCAAUACAAACAUUUUUUUCUGGCUUUUCAUCUCCUUGUCAUAUUCCCAGCAAAUAACCACACAGACGGGGUGUGUGUCUCUCCUUAAAUGAGAUUAGUGAAGGUGGCCCGAUCAAUUAUUUUUAAGCCUGACCAAAUAGGCGUACUCUAAUCUUGCCUAUUUCAGCAUAAUGUUGCCCAGCAUGAUAAAAUACUUAUUUAAACAGGUGUAUCAGUCUCAGAGAUCUGUAUGUAUAGUUUACCUUGAAGUCAAUUGAAAACAGAAUAUUCCUUAUUGAUUUUGCCUGCCUGGCUGCUAUAUGUAGUCAAUGGGACUCACGUGGAUGUAAAUAGAGUGAAUCAACUCCUUGCUGGCCCUGGACCUCCUUGAGUCAUGUGAAGUAGGUUUCUGAUUCCUUUAUGUUCAGGCACAGCCAGGGAGACAAGAGUACUACUGUCUUCUGCUGGUGCAGAGAGUUACCUCAGGCUAUGCAGGAAAAAUCCUUUUUUCUUAUUUUUAGACCUGAAUCAGUCUAUGCCACUAAAUGUAUUCUUGUGAAUACAGAUGCACUUUGUUGUCAUGCUCGUGGGAAGGCAAUGGAGUAACCUGUUUGGACGCAGCUGCAGGCCACCUGUAGAGAAAGUCAAAUUAGGGAGAGACCCCACUGUUCUUUGCAUUAAUGCUUUUUGUAUUGUUGUUUGACUUUUCCCCCUCUGUCGAUGUAUCUUUUUCAACUAGGGAGAUCGGGAGCACAUUUUAAGGCCUUCUGUCCCUUUAAGGCAUCUAAUGAUUGAAAGGACUCUAAGAUUUGAAAGGCUGUAAAAACUCCCCAGUUGGCAAUGAAUGAUGGCAAUACAAAGAAUCUUAAAGCUGUUGAAGUUGAAGUAGUCUUCUUACAGAUUUAGUUUGUUUGGUGAACUUCCAGCGGCAGCUCUUACAAGGUACUGUUCAAAUAUUCCCACCUAUCUGUGCUGCUGCUCCUUCUAAAGAUUUAUCAUGUUCUCAGUGGAAAAGUAGUUAUCCAUAUUAGCAGUUAACUUUACUACAGAUAAGAAACAAAAGAAAUUCUAAAAGAAGAAGAAUAAACUCCUCUUCUUCCUUUCCUCAUCUACCAAUGUGAAGCUCUAAAAAAGAAGCCCAUAAAUGAAAUAUCUACUUUAGCCAUAAAUAUUAAGGGAGGGAAAUGCACAAAUAAAACUUGUUUCUGGAAAGCUUGAUUUUGGCUGAAUAUCAAAAACCAUUUCCUGACAAUGAAAUCCAUUAGACUACGAAAUAAUCUCUCAAAGUAGUGGUUGCAUUGCUUAUAAGAUUUAACAUUUAAGGUUAGGCUGAAGACAGCCACAGAUCCUCAGGCUCAAAUGCAGAAUGUUAUUUCAGAAGUUGGAGGGACCUACUCUUUUGAUCCUAGCUGUUUCUCUUGUUUUGGGUUCCUUUACUUGGAAAUUCAGGUUAUAAUAUAGGGUUUUAUAUUAAUUUUUUGGUGUCCUCCACCAUGGAUCCUUGAGAGCUGUUUCAGCUGACUGGGAUCGAAUCACAUGAACCAGCCUGACUGUGUUUGUGUGUGUGCACUGUUCUUCACGCAUCUGAAGCAGAGGAGUCGUCACAAUUAUUCUAAAUGCAGUUAGAGGAUUCUGUCUGCCUCAGCUUUACAAUGUUUAUCAAGCUCCUGUAUUAACUCAGUAACACAACCUGCCAUUACAAAAUUCAAACUUUUGAUAACCAGCAUUUCACCAAUAUGAAUUUAUUUAUACAAGAUGCCCUUUCAGAGAACAUAUUAUAUCUAGGUAGUGACUGAGAGGUUCCCUAAUCAAUUCUUCAAGAUGCAGCUUCAGUACCUUAGUCCUGAGGACCAUGACUAAAUUCAUUUGAUACAUGUAUGUUAUAUAUUCCACUAAAAUCAAAGAAGAUAUGAUAGAAUUUGUUGCAACUAAAUAGUGGCACUCAGACAACUUUAAUUCUCAAAUUCUUGGCACGCAUCCUGAAAACUCGACUCUGCGCUUUCUCCUAAAUGCUCUGCUCUCUUUUGCUUUAUUGUAGUGAAGAAAAGAGAAAAGUAAUGAUAAUACCGUGCAUAGCAUAAUAUUUUACAGGGUUUUUUUGUUUUGUUUUGUUUUGUUUUUGUUUUUGUUUUUUGAGACAGUCUCACUCUGUCGCUCAGGCUGGAGGGCAAUAGAGCAAUCUCAGCUCACUGCAACCUCCACCUCCCAGGUUCAAGUGAUUCUCAUGCCUCAGCCUCCUGAGUAGCUAGGAUUACAGAUAUGCACCACCAUGCCUGGCUAAGUUUUGUAUUUUUAGUAGAGACGGGAUUUUACCAUGUUGGCCAGGUGGGUCUUGAACUCCUGCUUUGGCCUCCCAAAGUGCUGGGAUUACAGAUAUGAGCCACUGCACCCAGCCAUACUUUGCAUUUUUACAGCUUGUUUUCACCUAUAUUUUUUGACUAAAUGCUCACAACAGCCCAGCAACUGAGGCUGAGAUUAAGUGAUAAGAUUCAGGACUUGAAGGAUGGAGCUCUGACUCUAAGCUCUUUGCUCUGUCCACCUCAGCGCCAUAGCUGAAUUCUCAUAUGAAGAACAUUUUUCAUGUGGUAUUCUAUUCUGCUGGGACUGACACAUAAUUAGCACCUUAAACUAUAUAUCCAGGUAAAGAAUUAGUCCUGUGUCAGAAACAAGGCAUUUCCAGAAGCAUAAAGUAUAGCACCUCACAACAAGGUAGUUGGAACCCAGGGUCAAAAACAAGACAGAUACCCCAGGGGAAAAAACCAUGUCCCUAGCUAAUAUCCCUAGCAAAUGAUCCCUAGCUAAUCAUGAUGCCAAGGUAUGCUGCCUCAGGAAUCAGAUUCGCGGCAUUUAAAGUAAGAAAUUUUUGACUUCCAAUGUAGGGAGACAGAACUGAUGGGCCACAGGGAGCCAAUUGAAACCUACCUUAAAAGCAUUCACCUCCAGGCAUGGUGGCUCAUGCCUGUAAUCCCAGCACUUUGGGAGGCAGAGGCAGGCGAAUUGCCUGAGCUCAGGAGUUCGCGAACAGCCUGGCCAACACGGUGAAACCCUGUCUCUACUAAAAUACAAAAAAAAAAAAAAAAAAAAAAAAAAAAUUAGCCAGGCAUAGCGGCGUUUGCCUGUAGUUCCAGCUACUUGGGAAGCUGAGGCAGGAGAAUUGCUUGAAACUGGCAGGCAGGGGUUGCAGUGAGCGGAGAUGGUGCCACUGCACUCCAACCUGGGCGCCAGAGCAAGACUCUGUCUCAAAAAAAAAAAAAAAAAAAAAAAAAAAAAAAAAAAGCCAUACAUCUGUCUCUUUCGCUACCUGUGUUUUGAAGUUGAAAUGAUUUUAUACUACUUUUAUCCUUGGAUGCUUUCUUCAUAGCUUAACACAGGUAUUGUUUACCAAUUAAAAUGGGAAGCUGGUUUAAAUAUCAGCAAUCAUGCUACAACAGCACAAUUGAAGGAGUAUUUGACUCAAAGCCUUGGCUCUCCUAUUCACAAAUUUUGAGUGGUUAUUUCAUUGAACUUCCAUUUACUAUCUUCUAAAAUGUGGAGAAUAUGAACUAAUAACUUUUCCCCAGAUUGUUGUGAUUCUUAAGUGGGAUAGCGAAUGUGAGUGCUUUGUUAUCUGUAAUGCACUAUAUCAAUAUUAUUGUUAUAUUUUGCUUCAAUAUAUUUAUUAGCUUGCUAAAAUAACUUCCUAAGUUAUCUAGCUAAUCGCCUUUUUAACACCCCAGUCUGAUCUCUGCGUGCACUCAGCUCAUAUCAGAGUAGUUAAAAGUAAAAUGGGAAAACGUGAGCAAUGUAUAACAAUCCUUAUUUCAACCACUGUAUAUAGACAACUCCUAUUUUUUGUCAGCUGGUAUAUGAGACAUCCACAUGCAACCAUAAAGCCUGUGUUGUAAAGAAGUUUUUAAUGCCAGAAAUCCCAUAUGGUUUUGAUGUAACUAAAAGGUGUACACUUUCCUCAAGGUCAAGUCUAAAAAUUGGACCACUACAGGCUCUGACCACAUGUAUGAGAAGCCAAAGGACCUGUGAUCUCACCUGCCUCAAUCAUGUGCCAUUAUUUACUCCACUUGCCUCUUCUGAAUGGGUAUGAUCCCAACCAAACAUAGUGAAGGGGAAAGUUAAACAAUAUUUGGAAAGCCAUGUAUUUGGAAAGCCAAUGUAAAAGUGAAAAGAAGGCCACCCACGAGAGAGAGAGAGAGAGAGAGAGAGACAGAGAGAGAGAUCUUUCAUUUGUGAAUUGCAAAGCUUCAGAGGUCCGAAUUUGGCCAGUAUGUUUGCUGCAAAGCCUUGGAAUGCUGUUUUGCAGUUUCAAAAGUGAUCAUACUCAGCUUCCCAGAAUUUUUUAUGCCUGGAGGAUGCCACAAGAACAAGGGCAGCCUUGUUAACAAGUUCCAAUCUCUCAAAAACAAGAUAGGAUUCGGAUAUAAAUCAUCAUUUCAGCUCACAAAGCCAUGUUCUCCACCCCACUGAAGGGCUUCAUUUACAUCUAAAAUGGUUAAUACUGAUCUGCACCAGAACUCCUAAGUGGAGGAAUGCAGCUGCCAUGUGCUUAGUGACUCUGGGGUUAGGGAAGAAUGACAUCACCAAAUGUAAGCAUAUUAUCAUGCUGACAUAGAGGCACCUUGUUUUCUCCUCUGUGGAUAGAGCAAGGAUUGUGUUCUGUCUCUUGUUUUUUUCCGCUCGAAGAAUACCUUUCCCCCUCCCUUCUUAGCAGCUGCAAUAUGAAGGGCUGAAAAUGUCACUUCAACUAAUGAUGAAUGAUGCUUGACCUCUGGAUGGGUUACUCAGAAUUUUAUGCAAUUCUAAAUUAAUAUGAAAGAUCCCAACUCAAAGGACUUCGGCCGUUAAGAUUUGCUUCAAGGAUAGAUUUGUGUAAAGCAGUUAGUAGCUUUGGGGAUUUUGUUGCUGUUGUUAUUGUACUUGGUGGGGGACUGGGAGACUCGUGCUCUGUAAGCAAGGUAAAAGGCAGAAUGUGCUAACAUUUUUAUGUGUUAUUUUUUUCCUGUGAGAUUAAUAUCUUUUUCUACUAGAAAUAUUGUCAGUAAGCAGAACCAGUUUGUGAAAAAAACAUUCUCAAAAGGGCACAGGCCCACACGUCUUUGUUGUUUUUAUUUGAAUAUAAUUAAUUAUGUAAAGCAAUAGUUAGUGUAAGAUUAACAAUUAGUAGAUUCUGUCAAGUAGUCACACGGAAAUUACUAACUAAUUGAACUACUGGUCGUCUAUUGUGUCAGAAAGCAGUACUGAGUGUCAUUCUUUUUAUCUUUUUACUUUGUUGUUUUCACAGAUCCUCUUGUUUCUAAGAUGUAUGUUUCACAGCCGACUAAUAAAUAAAUAACCCUGGUUGUAAUUUCAUAACAUGCAAAAAGGUUUGAAAUAAAAACACCUGUUUUAAUUAGCAUUAUGGUUUGUUCACUUUAAAAAAAGUGAUAAUCCUGAUGCAGUUAGCUGACAUUUUUAAAGCUUUGAAUUUCCAUCUGUAUCUUAUAUUAUGAUGUUUCAGGAUUGUCAUGAGUUAAUUAUGUUAACUUGGGAAGCAUUGCUUGCAUUUAGAAUGAAAAACUUCAGCUUGAAUAGACAGAAAAGCAGAUGCUAUCUUUCUUGUCAAUUGCUUUGUUGUGGGCUGCCUUGCAAGUUUUCAUGUAUUUCUGGAUCUAAAAGGAAGUGUAAAUCUCUAUUUAUUUUAAGUUUAACAUAAACUACACAAUUUCAGUAUUCUUCUGUUUUGGCUGUAUGUGUCUUGUGUAUCUUUACAUGUGUAGCUUUCCUGCCCCCAAAUUCAGAAAUCCACAGUCAAAUUAUCUCUUCUUUAAUUCUUAAUUUGUUUUGUUGUGCCUAGGCAUUAUGGAGAUUAGUACAUAAUAAAAUUUAAGAAUAGGACAACUCUACUGGCUCAAUUCUCUCUCUAGUUAUUUUUUUCUACCACCUUUUUGCUUUUGUACAUCAACCUUUUAAAUGGUACAAAAUACAUGCAGCAUCUGGGCACAACAAGGCAUGUUAAGAAUGGAGUAGGCACUCUAAGUAGGAAUUUCCAUGCUUUUGUGAGUUUAAUGUUCCUUUAACAUAGAGAGCAGCUGUGUUUAUGUCAAUAAUUACACAUUGGGAUAAAUGCGUGUACAUGUUUUUCUUUAUGGGAUUAAGGAUGUUAGGUAUGGCCUUACACAAAAGAUUCUUGUCCCUCCCAUACCCACCCAAAAAGUUUCUAUAAAAUUCAAAACCAAGUUACACUGUUCUGAGAUUCUGAAAUAUUUCUCUAGGCAUUUGCACUUCUAGAUUUCAACUGACAGAAUAUGGGAUUGAUGUGUUUGUAAUCUUCUCUUUGCCCCCCCACCUCAUACCCAUUCUCCACUCUUCACUACCCUGUUCGGUACCCAGGAUCUGUAUGCACUCGCCUUCCAACAGGCUUCCAACUAGAUUGGGCCAACGAGAGGCAUCUGCAGCAGAACAGAGGGCAGGAGACAAUGCAAGAAUGCCAGGACUGUGAAUGCUUAAUCCCUGAAUUGGUGCCAUGAGCAAUAAAUGCUCGUGCUCAAAAGAAAGUGAGAUCAAGGAAAAGUGGAUCACUCUAGGCAGAACUUCUGGGAUAAACAAUCUUCCUUUGGGCUUUAAAGAAGUGGUGGGAUUGGGCCAUAGGAGGUGGGUGGGUAUGAUAGCUUAGGUCAAGAAUGAGCAAGAACCACAGUAUGGUUCUUGCUUGGGAAUAUCGAGUAUACUAGUAUAAUGGGCCCAGAUGCUCAGGUCUGAAUGAGGUCAAAUUUUAAGACUGAAUGGCAGGUUGUGGCCUGGAAAAAGAGGCCUCGAAUGAUGGAAUUAGAAAACUUAGUGUUUAAAAUGUAUGGUGAAGGUGUGUUCAGUAUAUAAAUCCAAUCUGUAAGUGAUAUGGAAAGUGGAAGUUUAUUCAAUGCCUUAUCACAUAUUCAAAUGAACGUAUGGCUGCUCUACCACUUAAAAAUAGCUCUGUUCAUUAAAGGAAAUGUAACCUAGAUUUUCAGAAAAUUAAAAUACAAUGUUCUUAAGUCAGUUUAAACUUUAACUGAGAUUCAUAGUUUGGUUCUGCCUUCCUAAGCAUUUGGACUAAGGCAGAGAGUAUAAAUCUGAUGGGUCAUCUUCCUGACCAAUCGACUUUCCAUUUUGAUUGCAAACAAUCCACUUGUUUAUUUAGAUACAACCACUGAACCAAGUCAUUUAGACACAAACAUUGAACAACAACCCAUGUGUUUCAUUCCUCUCAACUUUAGGUGUAUUUUGCCUCAUAAAAUGUACGGCAUUGUAAUUGUUAUUAAUUAGCUACACAUCAAAGAGCUUGGGUUAGCAGUGGGCCAUGAUGGCCUGAAUCACAAAGUGUGACUUGUUCAGUGUAUUUAUUUAUUUAUUUAUUUAUUUAUUUGAGACAGUCUCACUCUGUCACCCAGGGUACAGUGCAGUGGUGUGAUCUCGGCUCACUGCAGCCUCUGCCUCCUGGAUUCAAGCAAUUCUCCUGUUUCAGCCUCCCGAGUAGCUGGGACUACAGGCACGCACCAUCAUGUCCGGCUAAUUUUUGUAUUUUUAGUAGAGACGGGGUUUUGCCAUGUUGUCCAGGCUGGUCUCGAACUCCUCACCUCAAGUGAUCCAACCACCUUGGCCUCCCAAAGUUCUAGGAUUACAGGCGUGAGCCACUGCACCUGGCCUUUUACAGUGUAUGUAAGACUAACACUACUCCUCUAGAAACAAGGCUGUAUACCGUAAUGGAAUUUACCUUCCCAACCAAGCUGAUUUGUUUAGAUGCUGAUCAUUGGAAAUAAAUUAUUAAUCCAGGAA